AUGGUACUGUUGGAGUGAGAGAGUGCAAGUGUUGUGUCCCUACUUCGUGUUGAAGUGGAAAAGAAGGUUGAGGGAACAUCAGCGGAGGCGGUCCGGUGGGCAGUGGAGGGAAAGUAUGUGGCUGAGAUGGAGGUGGUGGGGGUUGUGAUAUAGGAAGUGGUGGUGGUGGAGGAGGUGGCAAUGGAGAUGAUGGAGGUGGAGGUGGCGCAGGCGAUGGAGGGGGUGAAGAAGGCAAAGGUGGAGUGGGUGGAGGAGAACAAGGAGGUAAUGGAGGGGAUCCCAUAGGUAGAGGAGGCAAAUCAGAUAUAUUAUCUAAACAUGAUUCC
This 326-nucleotide long non-coding RNA is filed under the name Nicotiana tabacum (common tobacco). RNAcentral's name for it is "long non-coding RNA (NTAB_LNC001920)". The record is from RNAcentral. Lineage: Eukaryota; Viridiplantae; Streptophyta; Magnoliopsida; Solanales; Solanaceae.